UACGAAGGAUCCAAGCGUUCUCCGGCUUUCUUUUUUUUCCCUUUUUCUUAUUCUUUCUAUUAAUUCAUUUGUGAAAGCCCCAAGCUUAACUUGGGAACUGCCAUUGAUACUGAUGGUCUUGAGUACACUUGAGGUGGGCGGAAUGUGUCAUGUAGCGGUGAAAUGCUUAGAUAUGACACAGAACACCGAUUGCGAAGGCAGCUCACUAAAUUGUAACUGACGCUGAGGCACGAAAGCGUGGGGAUCAAACAGG
This 253-nucleotide ribosomal RNA is filed under the name uncultured bacterium. RNAcentral describes it as "partial 16S ribosomal RNA". It matches the Rfam family "Bacterial small subunit ribosomal RNA", at positions 524 to 776 of the family's 1533-position model. The record is from RNAcentral.